GGCAGCAGGUAUAACACAUGCAAAACGAGAGGAAAAAGGUAGCUUGCUACCUAACCUAAGCGGGCGGAAGGGUGAGAAAUGAUUGGGAAUCUGCCUAUUAAGUGGGAGACUACAUUUCCGAAAGAAAAGCUAAUACCCGCAUACGCACCUACGGGGGGAAAGCAGGGGAUCUUUCGGACCUUGCGAUAAUAGAUGAGCAAAAGUCAGAUUAGAUAGUUGGUGGAUAAAGGCCUAACAAGGAGAAUAUCUGUAGCGGAUCUGAGAGGAUUAUCCGCCACACUGGGUGUGAGACACGGCCCAGACUCCUACGAGAGGCAGCAGUGGGGAAUAUUGGACAAUGGGCGCAAGCCUGAUCCAGCCAUGCCGCGUGUGUGAAGAAGGCCUUUUGGGUGCAAAGCACUUUAAGCGAGGAGGAGGCUACUUGGAUUAAUACUCUAGGAUAGUGGACGUUACUCGCAGAAUAAGCACCGGCUAACUGUGUGCCAGCAGCCGCGGUAAUACAGAGGGUGCGAGCGUUAAUCGGAUUUACUGGGCGUAAAGCGUGCGUAGGCGGCUUUUUAAGUCGGAUGUGAAAUCCCUGAGCUUAACUUAGGAAUUGCAUUCGAUACUGGGAAGCUAGAGUAUGGGAGAGGAUGGUAGAAUUCCAGGUGUAGCGGUGAAAUGCGUAGAGAUCUGGAGGAAUACCGAUGGCGAAGGCAGCCAUCUGGCCUAAUACUGACGGUGAGGUACGAAAGCAUGGGGAGCAAACAGG
Molecule: ribosomal RNA, 751 nt
Filed under: uncultured Acinetobacter sp.
Lineage: Bacteria; Pseudomonadati; Pseudomonadota; Gammaproteobacteria; Moraxellales; Moraxellaceae
Description: bacterial SSU rRNA
Rfam family: Bacterial small subunit ribosomal RNA
Source: RNAcentral